Molecule: ribosomal RNA, 1103 nt
Filed under: uncultured Bacteroides sp.
Lineage: Bacteria; Pseudomonadati; Bacteroidota; Bacteroidia; Bacteroidales; Bacteroidaceae
Description: bacterial SSU rRNA
Rfam family: Bacterial small subunit ribosomal RNA
Source: RNAcentral
AGUUUGAUCCUGGCUCAGGAUGAACGCUAGCUACAGGCUUAACACAUGCAAGUCGGGGGGCAGCAUGAACUUAGCUUGCUAAGUUUGAUGGCGACCGGCGCACGGGUGAGUAACACGUAUCCAACCUGCCGAUGACUCGGGGAUAGCCUUUCGAAAGAAAGAUUAAUACCCGAUGGCAUAGUUCUUCCGCAUGGUGGAACUAUUAAAGAAUUUCGGUCAUCGAUGGGGAUGCGUUCCAUUAGGUUGUUGGCGGGGUAACGGCCCACCAAGCCUUCGAUGGAUAGGGGUUCUGAGAGGAAGGUCCCCCACAUUNGGAACUGAGACACGGUCCAAACUCCUACGGGAGGCAGCAGUGAGGAAUAUUGGUCAAUGGACGAGAGUCUGAACCAGCCAAGUAGCGUGAAGGAUGACUGCCCUAUGGGUUGUAAACUUCUUUUAUACGGGAAUAAAGUGAGGCACGUGUGCCUUUUUGUAUGUACCGUAUGAAUAAGGAUCGGCUAACUCCGUGCCAGCAGCCGCGGUAAUACGGAGGAUCCGAGCGUUAUCCGGAUUUAUUGGGUUUAAAGGGAGCGUAGGCGGACGCUUAAGUCAGUUGUGAAAGUUUGCGGCUCAACCGUAAAAUUGCAGUUGAUACUGGGUGUCUUGAGUACAGUAGAGGCAGGCGGAAUUCGUGGUGUAGCGGUGAAAUGCUUAGAUAUCACGAAGAACUCCGAUUGCGAAGGCAGCUUGCUGGACUGUAACUGACGCUGAUGCUCGAAAGUGUGGGUAUCAAACAGGAUUAGAUACCCUGGUAGUCCACACAGUAAACGAUGAAUACUCGCUGUUUGCGAUAUACAGUAAGCGGCCAAGCGAAAGCGUUAAGUAUUCCACCUGGGGAGUACGCCGGCAACGGUGAAACUCAAAGGAAUUGACGGGGGCCCGCACAAGCGGAGGAACAUGUGGUUUAAUUCGAUGAUACGCGAGGAACCUUACCCGGGCUUGAAUUGCAACUGAAUGAUGUGGAGACAUGUCAGCCGCAAGGCAGUUGUGAAGGUGCUGCAUGGUUGUCGUCAGCUCGUGCCGUGAGGUGUCGGCUUAAGUGCCAUAACGAGCGCAACCCUUAU